RNAcentral lists this small nuclear RNA (149 nucleotides) under Procavia capensis (Cape rock hyrax). RNAcentral describes it as "U1 spliceosomal RNA (ENSPCAG00000019758.1)". It matches the Rfam family "U1 spliceosomal RNA". From Rfam's summary of the family: U1 is a small nuclear RNA (snRNA) component of the spliceosome (involved in pre-mRNA splicing). Its 5' end forms complementary base pairs with the 5' splice junction, thus defining the 5' donor site of an intron. The record is from RNAcentral. Lineage: Eukaryota; Metazoa; Chordata; Mammalia; Hyracoidea; Procaviidae.
AUAACUACUUGGCAGGGGAGGUACUGUGUUCACAAAGGUGGUUUCCCCAGUGCAAGAAUCAUCUUUUCUAUUAAGUAUAUGCUAACUCCUAGGGGAAAAUUCACUGCAUAAUUUGUGCUAGAGGGGGAUUGUAUUUGUGUUUUCCCUUG